AACCGGGGGAACUGAAACAUCUAAGUACCCCGAGGAAAAGAAAUCAACCGAGAUUCCCCCAGUAGCGGCGAGCGAACGGGGAGGAGCCCAGAGCCUGAAUCAGCAUGUGUGUUAGUGGAAGCGUCUGGAAAGGCGCGCGAUACAGGGUGACAGCCCCGUACACAAAAGCGCAUGUGUUGUGAGCUCGAUGAGUAGGGCGGGACACGUGGUAUCCUGUCUGAAUAUGGGGGGACCAUCCUCCAAGGCUAAAUACUCCUGACUGACCGAUAGUGAACCAGUACCGUGAGGGAAAGGCGAAAAGAACCCCGGCGAGGGGAGUGAAAAAGAACCUGAAACCGUGUACGUACAAGCAG
This 353-nucleotide ribosomal RNA is filed under the name Salmonella enterica subsp. enterica serovar Newport. RNAcentral's name for it is "bacterial LSU rRNA". It matches the Rfam family "Bacterial large subunit ribosomal RNA", at positions 181 to 573 of the family's 2925-position model. Lineage: Bacteria; Pseudomonadati; Pseudomonadota; Gammaproteobacteria; Enterobacterales; Enterobacteriaceae. The record is from RNAcentral.